Molecule: ribosomal RNA, 429 nt
Filed under: Acidobacteriota bacterium
Lineage: Bacteria; Pseudomonadati; Acidobacteriota
Description: Acidobacteria bacterium partial 16S ribosomal RNA
Rfam family: Bacterial small subunit ribosomal RNA
Source: RNAcentral
UGGGGAAUUUUGGACAAUGGGGGAAACCCUGAUCCAGCCAUCCCGCGUGUGCGAUGAAGGCCUUCGGGUUGUAAAGCACUUUUGGCAGGAAAGAAACGUCAUGGGUUAAUACCCCGUGAAACUGACGGUACCUGCAGAAUAAGCACCGGCUAACUACGUGCCAGCAGCCGCGGUAAUACGUAGGGUGCAAGCGUUAAUCGGAAUUACUGGGCGUAAAGCGUGCGCAGGCGGUUCGGAAAGAAAGAUGUGAAAUCCCAGAGCUCAACUUUGGAACUGCAUUUUUAACUACCGGGCUAGAGUGUGUCAGAGGGAGGUGGAAUUCCGCGUGUAGCAGUGAAAUGCGUAGAUAUGCGGAGGAACACCGAUGGCGAAGGCAGCCGCCUGGGAUAACACUGACGCUCAUGAACGAAAGCGUGGGGAGCAAACAGG